CAAGUCGAACGGAAUCCAUGGUGUAGCAAUACACCGGAAGAUCUAGUGGCGAACGGGUGAGGAUCACGUGAGAAACCUGCCCCAGACUCUGGGAUAACAAUUGGAAACGAUUGCUAAUACCGGAUGACGUCGGAGAACCGCAUGGUUCACUGACGAAAGAUAUUUCGGUUUGGGAGGGUCUCGCGGCCUAUCAGCUUGUUGGUGGGGUAAUGGCCUACCAAGGCAACGACGGGUAGCUGGUCUGAGAGGAUGAUCAGCCACACUGGGACUGAGACACGGCCCAGACUCCUACGGGAGGCAGCAGUGGGGAAUCUUGCGCAAUGGGCGAAAGCCUGACGCAGCAACGCCGCGUGCGGGAUGAAGGCCUUCGGGCUGUAAACCGCUUUCAGCAGGAACGAAAAUGACGGUACCUGCAGAAGAAGGAGCGGCCAACUACGUGCCAGCAGCCGCGGUGACACGUAGGCUCCAAGCGUUGUCCGGAUUUAUUGGGCGUAAAGAGCUCGUAGGCGGUUUAGUAAGUCGGGUGUGAAAACUCUGGGCUUAACCCGGAGACGCCAUCCGAUACUGCUAUGACUUGAGUUCAGGAGGGGAGCGGGGAAUUCCUAGUGUAGCGGUGAAAUGCGCAGAUAUUAGGAGGAACACCGGUGGCGAAGGCGCCGCUCUGGACUGAAACUGACGCUGAGGAGCGAAAGCAUGGGUAGCAAACAGGAUUAGAUACCCUGGUAGUCCAUGCCGUAAACGGUGGGCACUAGGUGUGGGUUCCAACUAACGGGAUCCGCGCCGUCGCUAACGCAUUAAGUGCCCCGCCUGGGGAGUACGGUCGCAAGACUAAAACUCAAAGGAAUUGACGG
This 851-nucleotide ribosomal RNA is filed under the name uncultured bacterium. RNAcentral's name for it is "bacterial SSU rRNA". It matches the Rfam family "Bacterial small subunit ribosomal RNA", at positions 58 to 916 of the family's 1533-position model. The record is from RNAcentral.